AUUGAACGCUGGCGGCAGGCCUAACACAUGCAAGUCGAACGGUAACAGGAAGAAGCUUGCUUCUUUGCUGACGAGUGGCGGACGGGUGAGUAAUGUCUGGGUAACUUCCUGAUGGGGGGGGAUAACUACUGGAAACGGUAGCUAAUACCGCAUAACGUCGCAAGACCAAAGAGGGGGACCUUCGGGCCUCUUGCCAUCGGAUGUGCCCAGAUGGGAUUAGCUAGUAGGUGGGGUAACGGCUCACCUAGGCGACGAUCCCUAGCUGGUCUGAGAGGAUGACCAGCCACACGGGAACUGAGACACGGUCCAGACUCCUACGGGAGGCAGCAGUGGGGAAUAUUGCACAAUGGGCGCAAGCAUGAUGCAGCCAUGCCGAGUGUAUGAAGAAGGCCUUCGGGUUGUAAAGUACGUUCAGCGGGGAGGAAGGGAGUAAAGUUAAUACCUUUGCUCAUUGACGGUACCCGCAGAAGAAGCACCGGCUAACUACGUG
RNAcentral lists this ribosomal RNA (490 nucleotides) under uncultured bacterium. RNAcentral's name for it is "partial 16S ribosomal RNA". It matches the Rfam family "Bacterial small subunit ribosomal RNA", at positions 30 to 507 of the family's 1533-position model. The record is from RNAcentral.